Molecule: ribosomal RNA, 253 nt
Filed under: uncultured bacterium
Lineage: Bacteria
Description: partial 16S ribosomal RNA
Rfam family: Bacterial small subunit ribosomal RNA
Source: RNAcentral
UACGUAGGGUGCAAGCGUUGUCCGGAAUUAUUGGGCGUAAAGAGCUCGUAGGCGGUCUGUCGCGUCUGCUGUGAAAACUCGGGGCUUAACCCCGGGCCUGCAGUGGGUACGGGCAGACUAGAGUGCGGUAGGGGAGACUGGAAUUCCGGGUGUAGUGGUGAAAUGCGUAGAGAUCCGGAGGAAUACCAGUGGCGAAGGCGGCUUGCUGGGUCUAGACUGACACUCAGACGCGAAAGCAUGGGGAGCGAACGGG